UGCGGAUCUUCAUUAGCUUGCUUUUGAAGAUCAGCGGCGGACGGGUGAGUAACACGUGGGCAACCUGCCUGUAAGACUGGGAUAACUUCGGGAAACCGGAGCUAAUACCGGAUAAUCCUUUCCCUCACAUGAGGGAAAGCUGAAAGACGGUUUCGGCUGUCACUUACAGAUGGGCCCGCGGCGCAUUAGCUAGUUGGUGAGGUAACGGCUCACCAAGGCAACGAUGCGUAGCCGACCUGAGAGGGUGAUCGGCCACACUGGGACUGAGACACGGCCCAGACUCCUACGGGAGGCAGCAGUAGGGAAUCUUCCGCAAUGGACGAAAGUCUGACGGAGCAACGCCGCGUGAACGAUGAAGGCUUUCGGGUCGUAAAGUUCUGUUGUCAGGGAAGAACAAGUACCGGAGUAACUGCCGGUACCUUGACGGUACCUGACCAGAAAGCCACGGCUAACUACGUGCCAGCAGCCGCGGUAAUACGUAGGUGGCAAGCGUUGUCCGGGAAUUAUUGGGCGUAAAGCGCGCGCAGGCGGU
This 532-nucleotide ribosomal RNA is filed under the name Bacillus sp. B53(2008). RNAcentral's name for it is "bacterial SSU rRNA". It matches the Rfam family "Bacterial small subunit ribosomal RNA", at positions 65 to 579 of the family's 1533-position model. Lineage: Bacteria; Bacillati; Bacillota; Bacilli; Caryophanales; Bacillaceae. The record is from RNAcentral.